RNAcentral lists this ribosomal RNA (645 nucleotides) under Triticum aestivum (bread wheat). RNAcentral describes it as "partial small subunit ribosomal RNA". The record is from RNAcentral. Lineage: Eukaryota; Viridiplantae; Streptophyta; Magnoliopsida; Poales; Poaceae.
AUGAGAGGGCUAAGGAACAUCAAUUCGCCUGACCAACUGGACUCUUUCAUUGAUCUAUGGUGGAGACUACAGAACACGGUCCUGUACCCGCGGCCGGACACAAUCUCUUGGAACCUCUCUGCCAAUGGAGAGUACUCAGCUAAGUCAGCCUACGUGGUUCAGUUCCUCACUAGGAUCCCACAGCCGCAUCUUCAGAAGGUUUGGAGCAUUAAGGCCGAACGCAAGGUCAAAUUCUUUAUAUGGACCCUCCUCCAGAACAGGCUAUGGACUGCGGACAGGCUAUUGGCUAGAAACUGGGAUCACAAUGAUGCUUGCUCAGGAUGUGAUCAAACGCUGGAAUCUGCCAAGCACCUAAUCCUUGAUUGCCCAUUUGCUAAGGAGGUGUGGUUCAAGUCUCGUGAGGAUUUCCCUCUUGCUGCACAGGCUGCUUUGGGCGCGACUUCGAUUUUAUCUUGGUGGAACACAGUACGGAGCCUAAAAAAGAGAGGAAGAGAUGCUGAUGAGUGCACUGCAGCGGUGUAUAUUGCUUGGAAUCUGUGGCUAGAAAGGAACAGCCGGAUUUUCAAAGACAAGACAAACACGAGCGCCGCGCUUCUCUUGCUGGCGAAGGACGAGUUAGGCCUUCUAAUGGAGUUAUGGGAGUAG